UCCUCUUGCUCCAACAACCUGAGCAACCU
RNAcentral lists this non-coding RNA (29 nucleotides) under Homo sapiens (human). Lineage: Eukaryota; Metazoa; Chordata; Mammalia; Primates; Hominidae. The record is from RNAcentral.